UUGCCCACUGCAUCCCUGAGCAGCGCAGGAUGGCAAAGAGUGCAGAGGUGACAAAAACACCCACUGGGUUUCAGGCCCCAUGACACCCUUCCUUUUUUCUCUUUGUUCUCCCAGCAUCCAGAGCAGCCACCUGCCCAUCGCCAGCAGCCAGGUAGAGCUGGUGGCAGACAAGUCCACGGGUGUCUUCAUUCAGAACACGUCUGUGAUCUUCAAGGGGCCCUGAGGUGCCGGGGGGACAUCACUAGGCCUUUGAGAGGAACUCAGGAUCUGGGUCCGGUGGCUCAGUGGUAAAGAACCCACCUGCCAAUGCAGGAGCUGCAAGAGACGCAGUUAUUAUCCCUGGGUUGGCAAGAUCUCCUGGAGUAGGAAAUGACAACUUGCUCCAGUGUUCUCACCUGGAAAAUUCCAAGGACAAGCUACAGUCCAUGGGGUCGCAGAGAGUCUGACACAACUGAGCAACUGAGCACCAAGAAAGGAGAAGAAGGUGAUCUGAGAGCCUGGGAACCCUGGGUCAGCUUCGGCCCUUCCGUCUCCAGAGGCAGAUGACCACAGCGUUUCUGAUGGGCCCCCAUCCGGACCAUGGGACCCCUUCUGUGUCUCCCACUGCUUUCCCACAGCAUCCUCGUCAACCAGGCCCAGGUAACUGUCUUCAGCCUCAAGAUGCUCAAGCUCUCCUAUGAGAACAAGAGUAUCACGGUUCCACCAUGAUUGUGUAAGUCCCCUCCCGACACCCAGGCAGGCAACUUUUUGUGGCUUUCACUUAGAAGAGUUG
This is a long non-coding RNA of Dama dama (fallow deer), 772 nucleotides long. RefSeq lists it as uncharacterized. The record is from RefSeq and is a predicted model, not a curated record. NCBI's taxonomy places the organism in Eukaryota, Metazoa, Chordata, Mammalia, Artiodactyla, Cervidae. The transcript has 3 exons.